CUGGGCACUGAAACACGGGCCAGACUCCUACGGGAGGCAGCAGUGGGGAAUCUUGCACAAUGGGGGAAACCCUGAUGCAGCGACGCCGCGUGAGCGAUGAAGCCCUUCGGGGUGUAAAGCUCUUUCGGCAGGAACGAUAAUGACGGUACCUGCAGAAGAAGCUGCGGCUAACUACGUGCCAGCAGCCGCGGUAAUACGUAGGCAGCGAGCGUUGUUCGGAAUUACUGGGCGUAAAGAGUGUGUAGGUGGUGUCGUAAGUUUGGUGUGAAAUCUCCCGGCUCAACUGGGAGGGUGCGCCGAAGACUGCGAUGCUGGAGUAUGGGGGAGGAAAGCGGAAUUCCUGGUGUAGCGGUGAAAUGCGUAGAUAUCAGGAGGAACACCUGCGGUGUAGACGGCUUUCUGGACCAUUACUGACACUGAGACACGAAAGCGUGGGUAGCAAACAGGAUUAGAUACCCUGGUAGUCCACGCCCUAAACGAUGCAUACUUGGUGUGAGCCAUUCAGUUGGUUCGUGCCGGAGCUAACGCGUUAAGUAUGCCGCCUGGGGAGUACGGUCGCAAGGCUGAAACUCAAAGAAAUUGACGGGGGCCCGCACAAGCGGUGGAGCAUGUGGUUCAAUUCGACGCAACGCGAAGAACCUUACCUGGGCUCGAACGGCUUUUCAACGUUCAUAGAAAUAUGGAUAUCCCGCAAGGGAGUAGAGUCGAGGUGCUGCAUGGCUGUCGUCAGCUCGUGUCGUGAGAUGUUGGGUUAAGUCCCGCAACGAGCGCAACCCUUGCCCUGUUUUGCCAUCAUUAAGUUGGGAACUAUCAGGGGACCGCCAGCGAUAAGUUGGAGGAAGGUGGGGAUGACGUCAAGUCAUCAUGGCCUUUAUGUCCAGGGCUACACACGUGCUACAAUGGACGGUACAAAGCGCUGCGAAGCCGCGAGGUGGAGCUAAUCGCAAAAAACCGUUCUCAGUUCGGAUCGCAGGCUGCAACUCGCCUGCGUGAAGCUGGAAUCGCUAGUAAUGGCAGAUCAGCAUGCUGCCGUGAAUACGUUCCCGGGCCUUGUACACACCGCCCGUCACAUCACGAAAGUGGGUUGUACUAGAAGUCUGUGCGCUAACCAGCAAUGGAGGCCACGGCCCAAGGUAUGACUCAUGAUUGGGGUGAAGUCGUAACAAGGUAGCCGUAGGAGAACCUGCGGCUG
RNAcentral lists this ribosomal RNA (1192 nucleotides) under metagenome. RNAcentral's name for it is "bacterial SSU rRNA". It matches the Rfam family "Bacterial small subunit ribosomal RNA", at positions 312 to 1520 of the family's 1533-position model. The record is from RNAcentral.